AACGGUCUAUACCUGCGGUACCUGCGGAGGGAUCAUUACAGAGUUCGUGCCCUCACGGGUAGAUCUCCCACCCUUGUGUAUUCCUUACAUUUGUUGCUUUGGCAGGCCGUUGGUUCGCCAACCACCGGCUCGCGGGCUGGUGCGUGCCUGCCAGAGGACCUCUCAAACUCGGUUUGUUAGUGUCGUCUGAGUAUCAUAAACAAUCGUUAAAACUUUCAACAAUGGAUCUCUAGAUCGGAA
This 240-nucleotide unclassified non-coding RNA is filed under the name soil metagenome. Its description in RNAcentral is "partial contains 5.8S ribosomal RNA, internal transcribed spacer 2, and large subunit ribosomal RNA". The record is from RNAcentral.